GGAGGAUGGAUUCAGUGAGACAAAUGGAAAAGCACGCACUGCAAGGACUUCCACUUGGAAAACAAGCUGUCACAAGUCAGUUUUGAUGAAGUGGUUUGUGCUGCUGCCUUCUCUUACUCUGAAAACUCAAGCUAUCAUCUGACCUAUUUCUCCUCAAAGGCAAACCUUCCAUCUGCCAACCUGGCCUCUAUGCUUUUGCAGCAGUUACAGGAAUAACAGAUGUAUGGACACUGGAGUCAUUGCAUUUGAACCAUAUAUGCUGCUUGAUGCUUGAGAGUUGAGUAGCAGCUCAAGGACCUCGCAUCUGAGUGAACUGUAAUGAUAUCUGCCAGGGUCCUGGCUUAUCUCAGCAGCAGCAAGGCACACUUUGCUCUCCAACUGGGUAGAAAACGGAACUUCUUACAAGUAACCUCUGCAAAUAUCCAUCAUGCCCCCCUUCAGCCUGCAACGAUCGACACCAAGUUUUACUUGCACCGAUCCGUCCGGAAUGUGGGGCAGGCGCUGCUGGUUUGCGUUGGCAGACCUCGAGGAGGGCUGGCAGGACUCGGGGGUGACAAGUGCGAACCCAAGCGCCAGUUUUUGCUCGGCACAAUCUAACAGCGCGGCA
Molecule: long non-coding RNA, 607 nt
Organism: Pezoporus flaviventris
Lineage: Eukaryota; Metazoa; Chordata; Aves; Psittaciformes; Psittacidae
Exons: 4
Source: RefSeq, a predicted model, not a curated record